AUUGAACGCUGGCGGCAUGCUUUACACAUGCAAGCCGAACGGUAACAGGUUAAGCUGACGAGUGGCGAACGGGUGAGUAAUGCAUCGGAACGUGCCCGGUCGUGGGGGAUAACACUUCGAAAGAAGUGCUAAUACCGCAUACGAUCUAAGGAUGAAAGCGGGGGACCGUAAGGCCUCGCGCGAUCGGAGCGGCCGAUGUCAGAUUAGGUAGUUGGUGGGGUAAAGGCCUACCAAGCCGACGAUCUGUAGCUGGUCUGAGAGGACGACCAGCCACACUGGGACUGAGACACGGCCCAGACUCCUACGGGAGGCAGCAGUGGGGAAUUUUGGACAAUGGGCGCAAGCCUGAUCCAGCAAUGCCGCGUGCAGGAAGAAGGCCUUCGGGUUGUAAACUGCUUUUGUACGGAGCGAAAAGGUCCUCUCUAAUACAGGGGGCUGAUGACGGUACCGUAAGAAUAAGCACCGGCUAACUACGUGCCAGCCGCCGCCGUAA
This 493-nucleotide ribosomal RNA is filed under the name uncultured bacterium. RNAcentral describes it as "partial 16S ribosomal RNA". It matches the Rfam family "Bacterial small subunit ribosomal RNA", at positions 30 to 523 of the family's 1533-position model. The record is from RNAcentral.